UAGCUUUUUUGUUAUAGGCAGUUAUUAGUGGCAGACGGGUGAGUAAUGCAUAGGAAUCUACCUAGUAGUAUGGAAUAGCCAUUAGAAAUGAUGGGUAAUACUGUAUAAUCCCUGCGGGGGAAAGAUUUAUCGCUAUUAGAUGAGCCUAUGUUAGAUUAGUUAGUUGGUAAGGUAAUGGCUUACCAAGACUAUGAUCUAUAGCUGGUCUGAGAGGACGAUCAGCCACACUGGAACUGAGAUACGGUCCAGACUCCUACGGGAGGCAGCAGUGGGGAAUAUUGGACAAUGGGCGAAAGCCUGAUCCAGCUAUGCCGCGUGAGUGAAGAAGGCCUUCGGGUUGUAAAGCUCUUUCAAUAGGGAAGAUAAUGACGGUACCUAUAGAAGAAGUCCCGGCAAACUCUGUGCCAGCAGCCGCGGUAAUACGGAGGGGGCAAGCGUUGUUCGGAAUUAUUGGGCGUAAAGGGCACGUAGGUGGACUAGUAAGUUAAAAGUGAAAUACCAGAG
RNAcentral lists this ribosomal RNA (504 nucleotides) under Ehrlichia muris. Its description in RNAcentral is "bacterial SSU rRNA". It matches the Rfam family "Bacterial small subunit ribosomal RNA", at positions 69 to 607 of the family's 1533-position model. Lineage: Bacteria; Pseudomonadati; Pseudomonadota; Alphaproteobacteria; Rickettsiales; Anaplasmataceae. The record is from RNAcentral.